UACGUAGGGGGUUAGCGUUGUCCGGAAUCAUUGGGCGUAAAGCGCGUGUAGGCGGCCCGGUAAGUCCGCUGUGAAAGUCGGGGGCUCAACCCUCGGAUGCCGGUGGAUACUGUCGGGCUCGAGUACGGAAGAGGCGAGUGGAAUUCCUGGUGUAGCGGUGAAAUGCGCAGAUAUCAGGAGGAACACCAAUUGCGAAGGCAGCUCGCUGGGACGUUACUGACGCUGAGACGCGAAAGCGUGGGGAGCAAACAGG
Molecule: ribosomal RNA, 253 nt
Filed under: uncultured bacterium
Lineage: Bacteria
Description: partial 16S ribosomal RNA
Rfam family: Bacterial small subunit ribosomal RNA
Source: RNAcentral